RNAcentral lists this ribosomal RNA (253 nucleotides) under uncultured bacterium. RNAcentral describes it as "partial 16S ribosomal RNA". It matches the Rfam family "Bacterial small subunit ribosomal RNA", at positions 524 to 776 of the family's 1533-position model. The record is from RNAcentral.
GACAGAGGUGCCGAGCGUUAGGCGGAAUCACUGGGCUUAAAGCGUGUGUAGGCGGGCCGUUAAGUAUCUUGUGAAAUCCCCCGGCUCAACCGGGGAAUGGCUGGAUAUACUGGCGGUCUUGAGCAAUCUAGGGGCAAAUGGAACAGACGGUGGAGCGGUGAAAUGCGUAGAUAUCGUCUGGAACGCCAAAGGUGAAGACAGUCUGCUGGGGAUUUGCUGACGCUGAGACACGAAAGCCAGGGGAGCGAACGGG